UACGGAGGGUGCAAGCGUUAUCCGGAUUCACUGGGUUUAAAGGGUGCGUAGGCGGGCAGGUAAGUCAGUGGUGAAAUCUCCGGGCUUAACCCGGAAACUGCCGUUGAUACUAUCUGUCUUGAAUAUCGUGGAGGUAAGCGGAAUAUGUCAUGUAGCGGUGAAAUGCUUAGAUAUGACAUAGAACACCCAUUACGAAAGCAGCUGGCUACACAAAUAUUGACACUGAGGCACGAAAGCGUGGGGAUCAAACAGG
Molecule: ribosomal RNA, 253 nt
Filed under: uncultured bacterium
Lineage: Bacteria
Description: partial 16S ribosomal RNA
Rfam family: Bacterial small subunit ribosomal RNA
Source: RNAcentral